RNAcentral lists this ribosomal RNA (611 nucleotides) under uncultured bacterium. RNAcentral's name for it is "bacterial SSU rRNA". It matches the Rfam family "Bacterial small subunit ribosomal RNA", at positions 8 to 608 of the family's 1533-position model. The record is from RNAcentral.
AGAGUUUGAUCCUGGCUCAGAGUGAACGCUGGCGGCAGGCCUAAUACAUGCAAGUCGAACGGCAGCACAGCAGAGCUUGCUCUGUGGGUGGCGAGUGGCGGACGGGUGAGGAAUACAUGGGAAUCUGCCCAGUCGUGGGGGAUAACGUAGGGAAACUUACGCUAAUACCGCAUGCGCCCUUCGGGGGAAAGCCGGGGACCUUCGGGCCUGGCGCGAUUGGAUGAGCCCAUGUCGGAUUAGCUAGUUGGUGGGGUAAAGGCCCACCAAGGCGACGAUCCGUAGCUGGUCUGAGAGGAUGAUCAGCCACACUGGAACUGAGACACGGUCCAGACUCCUACGGGAGGCAGCAGUAGGGAAUAUUGGACAAUGGGCGCAAGCCUGAUCCAGCCAUGCCGCGUGUGUGAAGAAGGCCUUCGGGUUGUAAAGCACUUUUAUCCGGAAAGAAAAGCGCUGGGUUAAUACCCUGGUGUCCUGACGGUACCGGAAGAAUAAGCACCGGCUAACUUCGUGCCAGCAGCCGCGGUAAUACGAAGGGUGCAAGCGUUACUCGGAAUUACUGGGCGUAAAGCGUGCGUAGGUGGUUUGUUAAGUCUGAUGUGAAAGCCCUGGGC